Zonotrichia albicollis (white-throated sparrow) is the source of this 1063-nucleotide non-coding RNA. NCBI's taxonomy places the organism in Eukaryota, Metazoa, Chordata, Aves, Passeriformes, Passerellidae. The record is from RefSeq and is a predicted model, not a curated record.
AAAAAAUGAGAGGUGGCACCAAAUAAAAGUGCCCUUUUCCAAUAUUUUUUCCCUACAUUUUUCAUACACAAAAAGGAUUCCCAUUUUUUCUUAUUGCAUUCUUAGCCUAAUUUUAACAGAACCAUUUUAAUUCCAGGCCCUGUUUGUGAGUUAUUCCAUGCUUUGCCAUUGGACUUGGGACAAAGGAGUGGGAGGAUCUGUUCCACAUGGGUGUCAUCCAAUGCUCAGCUCAGCUCCAGUGCUUUCCUUGGGAAAGGAUGUACUGGAAUAAAACCAAUGAUCCUGUCUCACAUGGUACCUGCCCUGGGAGGCCACCACUGUUCUGUUCCUGGCAGAAGGGACCUGCUGGCAGCUGUGGUUCAAGACUUGGCUGUGUGGCAGCAACAUGGAAGGGCUGCACUUGGAGCCUUCUGUCCUUUCCUGUUCUGGGAGCAGGAGCAUUGGUGUGUGCAGGACACUGAUAGUUGUAAUAUUACCUGCAGUUUCCUGGAGCCAUGAAACAGCCAAUACCUGCAGGGUGUUAUUCCCUGACAGCACAUUUGGAGAGAAACAGAUUGCAGGAUACUCUUGUCCAAGCAAGAAGUUUCUUUCCUUCUCCCAGAGAGCUUUGAGGUUUUUCUUGAAGUCAUUCUGCUAAUCUUGGCUGCAGCCCAGCAAGGCUUCCCUGCAGUGCAAUGGAGUUCUCUGUGCCUGAGCUGGUUCUGUCCCACUGACCCCCUGGCAGUGGCAGCACACAAUGUGCUGAGGUGGCUUUGGUGAUAGCAGCACUAAAUUCCCGAGUGAAAUCUGCUGUGACAAGAGAUAGACCUGCCUGAGCAACCACAGGCUUGGAGAUUUCACGUGUCAAGAUGAUCUAGCUGAGGUAACAAGUAACAAGAUAACAAAGAACUUGGAUGUUCAAAGAGUUCUUGCUAAUGUCCUUCACAGAAGCUGAAGUAAACUGCUAUGAACUAAAUGAACAUUUAAUCACUUACUGACUACAGUAAUAAAGUGAGAGGAUACCUGUGUGUCCUCCAGAGGGAUUCCUGAAUGGACUUGUAGAUUUAAUAAACCUUAAGUAGAA